RNAcentral lists this ribosomal RNA (253 nucleotides) under uncultured bacterium. Its description in RNAcentral is "partial 16S ribosomal RNA". It matches the Rfam family "Bacterial small subunit ribosomal RNA", at positions 524 to 776 of the family's 1533-position model. The record is from RNAcentral.
UACGUAGGGGGCGAGCGUUGUCCGGAUUUAUUGGGCGUAAAGAGCGUGUAGGCGGCCAGGUAGGUCUGCUGUGAAAACUCGAGGCUCAACCUCGAGACGUCGGCGGAAACCAUCUGGCUAGAGUCCGGAAGAGGAGAGUGGAAUUCCUGGUGUAGCGGUGAAAUGCGCAGAUAUCAGGAAGAACACCCGUGGCGAAGGCGGGUCCCUGGGACGGUACUGACGCUGAGACGCGGAAGCGUGGGGAGCGAACAGG